GACACACGGGGACAGCGGAGGAUCGCGCAGGGCCGCCCGCAGCGUCGAUCCGGGCACUCAGCGCGGGCUGUCACAGGACCGGGGGUCACCGCACCCCCCUCGCCGAGCGCUGCGGGUCCCCUGGGCCGCCCCAUCGGUGCUUGGGUGAGCUAAUUAAUGAGCUGGGCGAGCUAAUUAAGGAGCUAGCGGUGCCCCGCCAUGAGCGGCUCGGGCUUCCCACGGGCUGCGGCGAGCGGUGCUUUCGCUCCUCCCCGUCUCUCCCGCCGCUGACGCCGCUCCGGAGCCGCACUAGGACCGAGGAGGAGGAGGAGGAGGAGGAAGAAUGGAGGGGGAAUGGGCCAGCAGAGGAGCCCGGCUGCCCGCGCUGCUCCUGGCGCUGCUGGGCCUUGGGCCAGAGCUUCUCUUUGGCCAAGCACGGGCACCACCCCGGCAGGUGAACGGUGUCCUGGGGGGGUCCGUGCUGCUCUCGCCGGCUCUGCCCCCCAACAAGACGGUGAAGGAGAUCGAGUGGAGCUUUUCAGCCGGUGCCGGUGCCAUGAUUCAAGUGGCCGAGUUUGGCCCCGGCGGCUUCGAGCGCCCCGAUCCCAACGACCGGUUUAAGCAGCGGCUGGAGAUGUUCAACGCGACGGCGCUCAAGAUCAGGGCCCUGGAGCGGGGCGACAGCGGGGUGUACGGGGCGCGGAUCAAACUGCACCCGGCGCUGGUGGAGGACCAGACCUUCAACCUCUCUGUCUACGAGUCGGUGCCGAGCCCCCGGACCCGCAGCCAGCUCCUGGCCAGCACCCUGGAGUGGUGCAACCUGACGCUGCAGUGCCAGGGCGCCGGCAAGGGCGCCGUCAACGUCACCUGGAAGAGGGACAACGUCACCCGCGAGCUGCCCUCCGACCGCCACCAGCUGUCCCCGGACGGGACCACCCUGCGGCUGGCGCUGCCGCCCGCCGCCGCCAACGGCACCUACGCCUGCACCGUCAGCAACCCCGCCGACCACAAGGUCGUCCUGUUCGACCUGCAAACCAUCUGCCAGAGCGGAGGGGGACAAACGGCCUUCUCCAAGUCGGGGUACAUCGUCCUGACCCUCAUCCUGCUGGCGGUGAGCCUGGGGGGCGCAUUCUGGUGCUGGCGCGUGAACAGCGAGAAGGCGGCAGACCCAGCUGCCACCCCCACAGUGCCCGCCGAGGAGAGCCCCUCCGAGCCCCAGUACACCGAGAUCGUGCGCAGGAGCCCCCCGGAAGGGCCCCGGUCACCCCAAAACUAACGGGGAGCAGAGCUCGCCGCAGAAAGCGCCGGUCAGCACCGUCUAUGAGCAGAUCAGCCGAGCGCCAGAGGACACGGCCGAGGAGGUGACAUAGGCCCACAGGCACCCGCAGCGCCGGAGCACCGGGAUGUCCCAGAAGGGCUGUACAGUGCGUUGUGUGCCAAACCCGACCCCUCCGGCCCCCCUUUCGGCUCCGGGGAUGGACGGCACCAUCUCGGGGCGACAACCGUUCGGAUGCUGCCCCCCCCCACGCCGGUUUCUCCCCAACCUCCUUGUCUGACGCCCUCCCAGACUGUUUGGGGAGCGGGACCCCCGGAAUGAAGCAGAGACUCGUGGUGACGGCGAAGCGGGGGGACCCUGCAUGGCCCCCGGGCGCCCCGGGACGGGGGGACCCCGGGGGUCACCUCCCACGUGCCACCAUGGCCGGGUUGGCCGGGGUUGGAGGACAUCCUGGUGUUGGUCUGGCCGUGUCACCUCGGUGUGACACUGCGGGGCCAUGGGGAGACCCCCAGGGUAGUCAAACCCCCAAUCUCCCCCCCAACCCUCUGGGGUGUCACAGGGACCCCCUAUGGGGAGGUGUCCACCUGCUUCACCACUGCCACAGAGACAUUGGGGGACACUGGGGCGUCCCCCCAGCUCCGUCACACACGGCUCCGCUGGAGCAGAUGGUGGCACCUCCGGGGACACAGAGGGACACAGAAGGGCCCGUCACCCCUGUGAAUAUGUUGAGCAGCACUCCUUUUCCCCCCAGCCCCCCCAUAGCUGUUGCCCGUAGCCCGUGCACUGUUGCACCUGGGGGUCUCACUGCCUGCGUACCCAGCACCCGCGUCACGGGCCCCUCGCUCGGCCGGGCCCCCGCGCUGUACAAACAGCAAAUAAAUGUUGGUGAGAUCA
Molecule: RNA transcript, 2149 nt
Organism: Columba livia (rock pigeon)
Lineage: Eukaryota; Metazoa; Chordata; Aves; Columbiformes; Columbidae
Gene name: SLAM family member 5-like
Exons: 7
Source: RefSeq, a predicted model, not a curated record